This 1014-nucleotide long non-coding RNA is filed under the name Phascolarctos cinereus (koala). Its description in RNAcentral is "lncRNA (ENSPCIG00000033302.1)". The record is from RNAcentral. Lineage: Eukaryota; Metazoa; Chordata; Mammalia; Diprotodontia; Phascolarctidae.
AUGUCUCUGUGUCACUGCUGGGGUGCCAUCAAGGUGGCUGGCUCCCUCUCCUCAGCAGCUGGGCAGAGUGGGGGUGUUCAGCCUCAGCUCCCUCAGGGUGGUCUGUUCCACAUGGUGAGGGCUGGCUCCCCACUUCUGCUGCAGCUGAGAGGUCAAGGUGGCAGCUGCAGACCAGUCCACAGCAGGCUCCACCAAGGAGCCUUGGGCACCCUCCAAUUUCCAGGGGGCCCUGUCUGCCUCGUUGACAAAGAGCCAGCCAUAGGCAGGGAAAUAAUCAAGGCUCAGCUUGUCCUGCAGGAAGGACAGCUGAGUCUGGGGGCUCUUCUCCAACCUGGCCUAGAGAUGUGGCCUCUCCAAAGCCUCUCCAGCUGUCUCCAGGCCUGGAGAACAUCACCAACCGUCAAUCUCCUGAUGCUGGCCUUCCCAAGACUUCCUAAGCCCACACUGGGCAGUGAAUGGAGUGCCUGUAAAGAAAUGUCAACAUUAAGUCAGCAAGGACUUCACACAAGGUCAGUGUCAGGCUUCACAAUGGUGAGGAUCUCAGAGCUCCCCUGUGAUUUCCUGACGCCACAGAGGAUACUCCCCAAAUGUUUCCAUAGUGUACCAGAACCUCAGUCUUCUCUUAUUUGUCAGAGGAAAUUCUCUCAAACAAAUGCAGCCCACAACCCCCCUAUAGGGGUGAGCAUGAAGUCAAUGAAUAAUGGUGGGAGCAAGAGGAGGAAGCGGCUUGGAGACCUGCCUUCCCCACACUGGAGCUGGCCCAAGGCUCUUCAGUUUUCUGAGCCUCACAGUGCCCACCUGAGCAGUGCCCUCCCACCCUUCCAUGGAUGCAGGGAGGCACCAAAUGCCAUGUGGUAUAGGAAGUACAAAAACAUUCCAGACUCCCUGGCAGAGCCUCUGCACUGCAGGGCCUGUGAGGUCCCCAGGCAGCUGUGGAGCCCCACUUCUCCUUCACUGCUUCCUUCAGAUUGCCCUUCUGAUAAUAAAUCCUAUUUACAGAGGGUUCUUCUGUAA